Molecule: non-coding RNA, 403 nt
Organism: Anas platyrhynchos (mallard)
Lineage: Eukaryota; Metazoa; Chordata; Aves; Anseriformes; Anatidae
Source: RefSeq, a predicted model, not a curated record
AUUCUUCUCCUUAGCUGCCUCCUAAGAAGCUCUCCUUAAGGGAUACCUGUGGAGAGCUUUCACAUGCUGGUCUUGUCUACAGCUGGUGUAUCACACUGGGAGACUGUUCCUUUUACUGGUGCCAGAAGAGUCUGAAUAGUCUUUUGUGUUUAAGUGGAGGUUAUUAAAUAGAUUUAUAUUAAUUAACUGUGAUGCUGGGAACACAUGGGCAAAUGUACUUGAGGAGAUUGGUUUAUCCAUAUGGAAAUUACAUUGGAAGUUAAAUCCAUUACCCUAAUUGUAAAAUUCGACAGCGCUUAGCCAAUAACUGUGGAAUUGCCUAACUCAUGCAUUUGUUUCAGAGCUGGGCAAGUGCCUAAUUUCCUUGAAUACUUGCUCAAAUUAAAAAUUGAAUUUGCCUCAA